Molecule: long non-coding RNA, 1395 nt
Organism: Megalobrama amblycephala (Wuchang bream)
Lineage: Eukaryota; Metazoa; Chordata; Actinopteri; Cypriniformes; Xenocyprididae
Exons: 3
Source: RefSeq, a predicted model, not a curated record
CAGUAACGGGUAAACAGUCCACAGAAAUAACGCUCAGAAAUGAUCACCUUAGCAAAUCAAGACUUUGCGAUGUAAUGGAGUGUGUGAAGGGCUUAAAUAGUGUGUGGCUGCGUCCGAAACCGCCUACUUCUCUACUAUUUAGUAGGGGAAAAGCAGUAGGCGAGCGAAUAAGUAUGUCUGAAGCAAAAAGAGUAGGCGAAAAUUACCUGCGUGACGUACUAAUUCUCGCGAGAUUCGGACGUGUGCCUACUUAAAGUGCGUCCGAAACCGCCUACUUACCUACUAUAUAAUAGGGGAAAGCAGUAGGCGAGCAAUUAAGUAUGUCAGAAGCCUCAGUAAUCAUAAAAUAGUAGUCGAGGAGUUCCCGGAUGGCCUACUGCUUCCGCCCAGAUUCUGAAGUAUUCCUUGCUGGAUACUUUUCUAUCCCAGCAGGCCACGGGAGAGGAUACGUCAUAAUCGAACACGGAGGAGAAAAGCGGCGCGGAUGCUGUCAAAUAGCUUUGGUGGAGCAGGACCUGCAAGAAAAGCUGACGACAGUAUUUGUUAGAAAAAAAAGAGGAAAACCUGAAACAAAAUAAAAAUAUAUAUAAAGAUGUGAAUGUCCUCAGACUGGUGAGAGCACUGAGGAUGGAGAGACACAGAUCCUGGGAAUGGUUCAGUGUUAUGGACGAGAUCCUCCAUCACUCCUCCUUUCAAGUGACUCAAUCAAGGACACACUGGAGGAGACGCUGCAGAGAUCGAACCAGCAACCUUCUGCUGACCAGCUCAGUGGUUUAGACCACCACACCACAAAACUAAUGAAGCCAUGACAAGAAUUAGCAAUUGAAAAAUAUGAAAUGAAAUAUGCAAGAAACAGAAUGCUGACAUGAAUUAAUUGUAAAAUGUUUUAAUCUGCUGAUGGAGAGCACAUGAAUGUUUGCAGCAGCAGAUUGUCCCGCACAUCUUCUCCCACUCCUGCUCCAAGGUUGAGGGGUUCAGGGGUCCAUCUUCAUCAUCAUCAUCAUCUUCAGCAGUGAGGAACAUGAUGAUGAAGGUGUUCAUCAGCUGCUUGAUCAGAAUAAAGCUGCAGAAUUGGCACAUCUGUGUUGAGAUGACAGCAGGACUGUAAAUACCUGAUUGUUAGAUCAAUACAUUUGAAUAAAGCUUUGUUUCGUGUGUUGUUGACUUGUAUAUGCAUUUAUUUGUCAUUAUUACUUUUAUUAAUUCUUUACUUAUUAAUUAUGCUAUUAUCAGUAAAUGUAUAUAUUUUAAUAAGCAAUGAAUUAAUACAUGAAUUGACUGUAAAUGGAGAUGUAUUCACAUCAGCUGUAUUUGUCUAGUGUGUGUUCAUGCACAGCUGUCACAACUAAACAUUACAUUUUGCUUGUUUUAUUAAAGAAGUAAAAUGAAAAGUAA